Molecule: small RNA, 648 nt
Filed under: Arabidopsis thaliana (thale cress)
Lineage: Eukaryota; Viridiplantae; Streptophyta; Magnoliopsida; Brassicales; Brassicaceae
Description: ATSL097430
Source: RNAcentral
AAGUAUUUUAAAAGCUUUGCUAGUUGUUAAAAACCCUUGUAAAUCAUUUUAAAACCUCUUAAAAUCUUUAUAAAGUCUUUAAAAACAUAUGUAAAUACUUUAAAACCCCUUUUUAAACCUUUGUAAAUCAUUUAAAAACCUUUUACAAUAGUUUUACAAGAUUUACAAUCGUUUUUUUAAGUAUAAGUAAGUGGCAUUAAAUGAUUUACAAGAGAUUUUAAAAGGUUAUAAAAGAGUAAAACAUGAUUUACAAUCGUUUUAAAAGCAUAAGUAAGUGACAUAAAAUCAUUUACAAGAGAUUUUAAAAGUGUUUGCAUGGUUUACAAUCGUUUUUAAAGCAUAAGUAAGUGGCAUUGAAUGAUUUACAAGGGAUUUUAAAAGAUUUUAAAAGAGGUUAACAUGAUUUACAGUCGUUUUUAAAGCAUAAGUAAGUGUCAAAGAAUGAUUUACAAGGAAUUUUAAAAAGGGUUUGCAUGGUUUACAAUCGUUUUUAAAAGAUAAGUAAGUGGUAUAGAAUGAUUUACAAGGAUUUUAAAAGCUUAUAAAAGGGUAAAACAUGAUUUACAAGAGUUUUUUAUGAGUUUUAAAAGGAUUUAAAACCUUUUAAAUCUCUUAUAAAGUCUUUACAAGCAUUUUUUAACUCUUAAA